Molecule: ribosomal RNA, 253 nt
Filed under: uncultured bacterium
Lineage: Bacteria
Description: partial 16S ribosomal RNA
Rfam family: Bacterial small subunit ribosomal RNA
Source: RNAcentral
UACGUAGGGGGCUAGCGUUGUCCGGAUUUAUUGGGCGUAAAGAGCGUGUAGGCGGCCAUGUAGGUCCGGUGUGAAAACUCGAGGCUUAACCUCGAGAUGUCAUCGGAAACCAUUUGGCUAGAGUCCGGAAGAGGAGAGUGGAAUUCCUGGUGUAGCGGUGAAAUGCGUAGAGAUCGGGAGGAAGGCCGGUGGCGAAGGCGGUCUGCUGGGCAGUUGCUGACGCUGAUGCGCGACAGCGUGGGGAGCAAACAGG